Molecule: long non-coding RNA, 2689 nt
Filed under: Homo sapiens (human)
Lineage: Eukaryota; Metazoa; Chordata; Mammalia; Primates; Hominidae
Description: non-protein coding lnc-AHNAK-1:7
Source: RNAcentral
GGCAUAGCCCACAUUCUUGUGAAUCACCCACAGUGAUUCCUGCAGUGUUGUCCCCAGCCUCAAGCCUCUCUGCACCGUAAUUGUGCUUCUUUUCCUCAGAUACCUGCCUUGCAUUGGCCCUGGGUAAAUGUUUCCCUUGGCUGUGAAUAGGCAAUUAAAAUUCUGAACCUUUUAUGGCUCUGGAAGCUUAUCCGAUGAAACAAUACUCAUCCAGGCGGAUGGCCCACCAGCGCAAAGGGCUGAAAAGUUCCAUGGCAGCCUCAUAACUGGAGGGUGUGUCCAUGAGGAGGGUUUCGAUGACACGCUGAAAGCUCGGGCAGAUCUCUGCAGAAGCUGCAACACAGAGGAGAGAAGGCACAUGUCUCCAGGCCCCUUUCCAAGCUGGCUAGCCCUCUGGCUGGGUCUGCCCAGAUGCAAACAGCCAGGCCCAUCAGCGAGAGAUAGCAGCCUUUUCAUCGAUGGACUAGAGUGGCUGAGGCCGCUGUAAGCCAAGGUACGCAACGCUUGCUAAACAGGAAUCCCUGGAAUGAAUCCAUGCAUGAGGCCUUUGUGCCAUGUGACAGUUGAAGGCUGUGGUGACCCCGGAACCGUCCCACUCCGAGACGCCUUAACACCGUUUUUCUGCUGUUACAAACCACAGAGCAACGCGUGUGCCUCCUCCCGCCCUGGGGACUCUUUCUGUGGGAGAGGUGCCUGGAUUUAGAGGAGCGACCACUCUUCAUUUGAUCUUGGUCACUUUCCCAGUUGUCACUCGGCCCACAAACUAGGAUGUGAGCAGCAUAUUAAGAAUCUGCAGAGAUGUUCCCGUCUGCCCGGCAUAUGGAUGUCCUUCUGGGCUGCAAAGUGGCAUCCUGUGGGCAACUCCCCCCACAACAACCAGCUGUGAGCUGUGCCCAGGCACAGAGGGACCUGGCUUUCCCUGUUUCUGCAGAUGGAGCCCAGGGUUUCAGGGAGGGAGGGGGCAGGCUGGGACCUGUUGGGGAUCUGGGCACUUUCUCAUGCUCCUUGAGCUGCAAGUCAUAGAAGGAGUGGGGUGGGAGCUGGGAAUGUACCUUCCCAAGGCCACUGGCAGAACCAGCAGGCCCUUUGCUCUGGGAUGAGCUCCCUCUGAGGGGUGGGGACAGUAAAGCGGACCGAAGUCCCUGUUCUGCGGGAUGGAAACUGGCUCCCCUCCAUUGUACAGGCCAGCUCUGGGGAUUUGGGCAGCAGAUUUGGGGUUGACAGCAGAAUGACAUGAUCACCAGUUGACCUUGGCCAGGAUGCCAGCUUACUUUCUCGCUUACUUCUGCAGGUUCUUUGUUCUGCGGGUGAGUCACCCAGGUCCUGCCCUCCGUGCCUGUCUGCCCUCUCCCACUUUCCCUGCCCUGAGCUUGUUCCCACUUGUAGAUUUGGCAGGUCACUGCCAAGGCCCCUAUUCCCCCAACAUGGCCAGUGCCCUAAGGGUGGGUUGUACAGGGAGGAGCUGGCGUGGUCAGUAGACUUGAAUCAGGGACAACUCGGCUGCUGAAGGCUGAGGGGGCCUUGCAGGGCUGCAGGUGCCUUGUGCACACAGGGAGUGGGUAGAGAAGGCAACCAGGGGCUCCUUCAGGCCUUAAUGCUCUGCAGCCCAGUGAGGCUGUGCCCAGAGAGUCUGGCGAGGCCCUGGUCUGCUCCCCCAGCCAAUGGCCUGAUGCUGUUCCAUCUGGGCACCCUGUCACUUUUCGUUCAUCAGGGAGUACAGGGUGAUUCAGGGUCUCAAAUGCAGGUGUUCACAAAAUGAAAUAGAACUUCCCUCUAUCCCCGUGCUUCUUUUUAUUUUUAUAACAAAUAUACAUCGUUAUAUUUUAUUUUUAUAUUUAUGUAUUUUAUAUAUAUGUGACAUCUACUACAUGACAGAAAAUAUUUAUGGCCAGGCAAGGUGGCUUACACCUGUAAUGCCAGCACUUUGGGAGGCUGAGGCAGGCGGAUCACCUGAGGUCGAGAGUUGGAGACCAGUGUGACCAACAUGGAGAAACCCCAUCUCUACUAAAAAUACAAAAUCAGCUGGGGGUGGUGGCGCAUGCCUGUAAUCCCAGCUACUCGGGAAGCUGAGGCAGGAGAAUCGCUUGAACCGGGGAGGCGGAGGUUGUGGUGAGCCGAGAUUGCACCAUUGCACUCCAGCCUGGCAACAAGGGAUAAACCCCGUCUCAAAAAAAAAAAAAGAAAAAAAAAAAGAAAAAAAUAUUUAUAAUGUAACUAAUAUAGCUAAAAUAAAAUGUAAUUUCAGUCUCAAGCCUUCAUUCUGUUAAGGGGACAGAAACUUAAUCUUGGUCAUCUUGGGGUCUCCCUCCCUGGGGCUGUGCCUGACUUCCAGGGGGCUCGGCGUUGGCAGGAUUUCUGGUGCUUGAGGUCACCUGUCAGCCUGUCUCUUGUCAUUGGCUAUCCGCCGUGCCAUCUGCUCCUGUGUGUCCUUGGCACUGUUCGCAUGUCUCCAGCUCGCUGGCUUUCUCUGCCACCUUGGAGCCACUCCUGGGUGCACAGGAGUCUUACUGCUCCCACGCUGUGCUGGGGCCUGGGAAGACUGCUGUGGCCUACCUGCCUCCGUGUAGCACACACACCCAUUUCUUCUUCUUCUUCUCCUUCUCCUUCUUCAGACAGAGACUCACUCUGUCACCUAGGCUGGACUGCAGUGGUGCCAAAUUGGCUCACUGCAACCUCCGCCUCCCGGGUU